CAAUGUGGGGCAAACUGUUGACUGUUAUUGGUAGAAAGAUGGCAGCACUGUCUCUUGGACUGGUGAUGUCACAGCUGUUUGUCAGAGGCAGUGCGGUUAAAGUCCUGUCUCAGCCGGGGAACACAGUACAGUUUCCAUGUUACUACAGUUAUGAAGACCACCAGGACAUCCCACAGCUGUCUGUCCAGUGGAGAGGCCCAGGCAACACACUCCUCUGUCACUACAUCAAACACAAGGCCUUCCAGAACUGCACCCAGGGCUACUCACUGGACUACAUGCCGAGGAAGAUCACUCUGAGCAUCACAGAGGUCAGAACGCAAGACUUCGGAUCUCACGUCUGUUCCGUUAGCAAGAGACACGAGUUCACGGACUUUAGCAUCGAGCUAGUCGUGAAGACAGAUCCCAUCACUUCCUUACCGACGAACAGGUGGGCUCAGUCAGGUCUUCCUGAGGGACAUGUUGUUGUCCUCGUCUGCUCUGUGUUGGUCAGCACCUGGGGAUGAAUAGCACAAAUACUGUGAAAAUAAAGAACCGAUUGAGAUUACAUUUUUUUAUAUAAAUAUUGUAAUUAGAAAUAAAGAAUAUACGCUUCAUUAACGUUGUAUUCUGAAAUAUUAACUGUUCAUUAAAUAGUAGUGGUGUGUGUGUGUGUGUGUGUGUGUG
Molecule: long non-coding RNA, 663 nt
Organism: Salmo trutta (river trout)
Lineage: Eukaryota; Metazoa; Chordata; Actinopteri; Salmoniformes; Salmonidae
Source: Ensembl